RNAcentral lists this unclassified non-coding RNA (240 nucleotides) under soil metagenome. RNAcentral's name for it is "partial contains 5.8S ribosomal RNA, internal transcribed spacer 2, and large subunit ribosomal RNA". The record is from RNAcentral.
AACAUCGCGCACCUGCGGGAACCUGCGGAAGGAUCAUUAAUGAUUGGUGGCUGUUGCUGACCAGUGUUUCUAGUAUGUGCACGCCACACCUUCAAUCCCACUUACACCUGUGCACCUUCUGUAAUAGAUCUAUGUGGAUACGGAGAUAUGAAAGUUUGCGCUCUCGUACUCUGUUGAAGCAGUCUACUACGUUUUUUUACACACACACAAUAGUCAUUGAAUGUAUUUUUUAUUCUUAUG